CCUACGGGAGGCAGCAGUGGGGAAUAUUGCACAAUGGGGGGAACCCUGAUGCAGCAAUGCCGCGUGGGUGAAGAAGGACUCCGGUGCGUAAAGCCCGGUCAGCAGGGAAGAAAAGGACAGUACGUGGACAAGAAGCCCCGGCUAACGACGUGCCAGCAGCCGCGGUAAUACGUAGGGGGCCAGCGUUAUCCGGAUUGACGGGGGGUACAGGGAGCGAAGGCGGCGUGGAAAGUCAGAUGUGAAAACCCGGGGCCCAACCCCGGGAGUGCAUUUGAAACUUCCAUGCUGGAGUGCCGGAGAGGUCAGCGGACUUCCUAGUGUAGCGGUCACCUGCGUCGCUAUUAGGAGGCACACCAGUGGCGGAGGCGGCUUACUUGACGGUAACUGACGCUGAGUCUCGAAAGCGUGGGGAGCACACAGGAUUAGCUACCCUUGUCGUC
RNAcentral lists this ribosomal RNA (440 nucleotides) under uncultured bacterium. Its description in RNAcentral is "partial 16S ribosomal RNA". It matches the Rfam family "Bacterial small subunit ribosomal RNA", at positions 338 to 795 of the family's 1533-position model. The record is from RNAcentral.